This 882-nucleotide ribosomal RNA is filed under the name uncultured archaeon. RNAcentral's name for it is "bacterial SSU rRNA". It matches the Rfam family "Archaeal small subunit ribosomal RNA", at positions 1 to 865 of the family's 1478-position model. The record is from RNAcentral.
UCCGGUUGAUCCUGCCGGACCCCACUGCUAUCGGGAUAGGACUAAGACAUGCUAGUCGAGUGAUUCAGGCAAAACGAGUCACGGCACACAGCUCAGUAACACGUGGCUAAUCUGCCCUUAGGACGAGAACAACCCCGGGAAACUGGGGCUAACUCUCGAUAGGCGAAGAACUCUGGAAUGAGUCUUUACCUAAAUAGUGCAACGUUAUCCUCGUUGCAUCGCCUAAGGAUGAGGCCGCGACCGAUCAGGUUGUUGGCGAGGUAAUGGCUCACCAAGCCUUUUACCGGUGCGGGCCGUGAGAGCGGGAGCCCGGAGGUGGGCACUGAGACAAGGGCCCAGGCCCUACGGGGCGCAGCAGUCGCGAAAACUUUGCAAUAAGCGAAAGCUUGACAGGGCUAUCCCGAGUGCCAUCCGCUGAGGAAGGCUUUUACCCAGUCUAGAACGCUGGGGGAAUAAGGAGAGGGCAAGUCUGGUGUCAGCCGCCGCGGUAAUACCAGCUCUCCGAGUGGUGUGGAUGUUUAUUGGGCCUAAAGCAUCCGUAGCUGGCUAGGUCAGUCCCUUGUUAAAUCCACCGAAUUAAUCGUUGGAUUGCGGGGGAUACUGCUUGGCUAGGGGACGAGAGAGGCAGACGGUAUUUUCGGGGUAGGGGUGAAAUCCUAUAAUCCCGGGAAGACCACCAGUGGCGAAGGCUGUCUGCUAGAACGCGCCCGACGGUGAGGGAUGAAAGCUGGGGGAGCGAACCGGAUUAGAUACCCGGGUAGUCCCAGCUGUAAACGAUGCAGACUAGGUGUUUGGACGGCCACGUGCCGUUCUAGUGCCGCAGGGAAGCUGUUAAGUCUGCCGCCUGGGGAGUACGAUCGCAAGAUUGAAACUUAAAGGAAU